GACGAACGCUGGCGGCGUGCUUAACACAUGCAAGUCGAACGGAAAGGCCUUUUCGUUGGUACUUGAGUGGCGAACGGGCGAGUAACACGUGGGUGAUUUGCCUUGCCCUCUGUGUUGAGUAUGUGAAACUGGGUCUAAUACCUGAUAGGUACGAGCUUCUGUGUCUGGGUGGGGAAUGGUUAUUGGGGUCGGUUGGGGCUGGGGUCUAUCCGCUUGUUGGUGGGGUAAUGGUCUACCAAGGCGGCGACGGGUAGGCGGACUGAGAGGUUGGGCGGGCACAUUGGGGCUGAGGAACGGGCCAGGAUCCUACGGGAGGCAACAGUGGGGAAUAUUGCACAAUGGGGGCAAGCCUGAUGCAGCGACGCCGCGUGGGGGAUGACGGCCUUCGGGUUGUAAACUCCUUUCGCCAGGGACGAAGCGUUUUGUGACGGUACCUGGAGAAGAAGCACCGGCUAACUACGUG
This 463-nucleotide ribosomal RNA is filed under the name uncultured bacterium. Its description in RNAcentral is "partial 16S ribosomal RNA". It matches the Rfam family "Bacterial small subunit ribosomal RNA", at positions 28 to 507 of the family's 1533-position model. The record is from RNAcentral.